GGAUGUGAGAGCGAUCUGGCUGCAACAUCUGUCACCCCACAGAUUGCCAGGGUUGAUUCAGCUGAUCUGGCUGGCUAGGCGGGUGUCCCCUUCCUCCCUCACCACUCCAUGUGUGUCCCUCCCGAAGCUGCACGUUCGGUGAAAGAGGACAGUCUUCCCCGAUAGAGACGGUACCGUUCAUUGGUCAAGGGUAUACAGUAGCUGUGCUCCCCUGCUAGAACCUCCAAGCAAGCUCAAGGUCCAUUUGUAGGAGAACGUAGGGUAGUCAAGCUUCCAAGACUGCAGGCACAUUCAAGUGAGGCACUUGCAUGCAGCAGUCUGCCAUUGUUU
Molecule: small nuclear RNA, 330 nt
Filed under: Numida meleagris (helmeted guineafowl)
Lineage: Eukaryota; Metazoa; Chordata; Aves; Galliformes; Numididae
Description: 7SK RNA (ENSNMEG00000022424.1)
Rfam family: 7SK RNA
About the family: 7SK was discovered as an abundant small nuclear RNA in the mid-70s but a possible function has only recently been suggested. Two independent studies have found that 7SK RNA binds the CDK9/cyclin T complex (known as elongation factor P-TEFb).
Source: RNAcentral